This 306-nucleotide ribosomal RNA is filed under the name uncultured bacterium. RNAcentral's name for it is "partial 16S ribosomal RNA". It matches the Rfam family "Bacterial small subunit ribosomal RNA", at positions 507 to 809 of the family's 1533-position model. The record is from RNAcentral.
GACAGCAGCAGCCACGGGAAUACAGAGGGUGCGAGCGUUAAUCGGAUUUACUGGGCGUAAAGCGUGCGUAGGCGGCUAAUUGAGUCGGAUGUGAAAUCCCCGAGCUUAACUUGGGAAUUGCAUUCGAUACUGGUUAGCUAGAGUGUGGGAGAGGAUGGUAGAAUUCCAGGUGUAGCGGUGAAAUGCGUAGAGAUCUGGAGGAAUACCGAUGGCGAAGGCAGCCAUCUGGCCUAACACUGACGCUGAGGUACGAAAGCAUGGGGAGCAAACAGGAUUAGAUACCCGAGUAGUCCCUGUCUCUUAUAA